RNAcentral lists this ribosomal RNA (465 nucleotides) under uncultured bacterium. RNAcentral's name for it is "partial 16S ribosomal RNA". It matches the Rfam family "Bacterial small subunit ribosomal RNA", at positions 338 to 795 of the family's 1533-position model. The record is from RNAcentral.
CCUACGGGAGGCAGCAGUAGGGAAUCUUCCACAAUGGGCGAAAGCCUGAUGGAGCAACGCCGCGUGGGUGAAGAAGGUCUUCGGAUCGUAAAACCCUGUUGUUAGAGAAGAAAGUGCGUGAGAGUAACUGUUCACGUUUCGACGGUAUCUAACCAGAAAGCCACGGCUAACUACGUGCCAGCAGCCGCGGUAAUACGUAGGUGGCAAGCGUUAUCCGGAUUUAUUGGGCGUAAAGGGAACGCAGGCGGUCUUUUAAGUCUGAUGUGAAAGCCUUGGGCUUAACCGGAGUAGUGCAUUGGAAACUGGGAGACUUGAGUGCAGAAGAGGCGAGUGGAACUCCAUGUGUAGCGGUGAAAUGCGUAGAUAUAGGGAAGAACACCAGUGGCGAAAGCGGCUUUCUGGUCUGUAACUGACGCUGAGGUUCGAAAGCGUGGGUAGCAAACAGGAUUAGAUACCCUAGUAGUC